This 299-nucleotide long non-coding RNA is filed under the name Hordeum vulgare. RNAcentral's name for it is "long non-coding RNA (HVUL_LNC012621)". The record is from RNAcentral. Lineage: Eukaryota; Viridiplantae; Streptophyta; Magnoliopsida; Poales; Poaceae.
AUAGUGGUAGAUUAUGUUUUUGUUAAUUUUUUGCUGUUUAGUGCUAUCUAGGUUUAGCGAUAGGUUUAGUUAGCUUGGUUAGUUAGGUUAGUUAGUUAGUUAGAUUAAUAGAAAGAAUAGGAAGAAGAAGAAGAGGAGGAGGAGGAGAAGAGGAUAAGAGGAGGAGGAGGAGUAGAAGAAGAAGAAGAAGAAGAAGAAGAAGAAGAAGAAGAAUAGGAGGAGGAGAAGACAAAAAUAAGAAGGAGAAGCAGAAAAGAAGAAGAAAAGAAGAGAAGAAGAAUACCUUCUCCUCCUCCUUC